UAGUAAUCGCGCAUCAGCCAUGGCGCGGUGAAUACGUUCCCGGGCCUUGUACACACCGCCCGUCAAGCCAUGGAAGCCGGGGGUGCCUGAAGUCCGUAACCGCGAGGAUCGGCCUAGGGCAAAACUGGUAACUGGGGCUAAGUCGUAACAAGGUAGC
RNAcentral lists this ribosomal RNA (157 nucleotides) under uncultured bacterium. Its description in RNAcentral is "partial 16S ribosomal RNA". It matches the Rfam family "Bacterial small subunit ribosomal RNA", at positions 1336 to 1500 of the family's 1533-position model. The record is from RNAcentral.